UGCCCGUUGCUCUGAUGA
Molecule: non-coding RNA, 18 nt
Filed under: Arabidopsis thaliana (thale cress)
Lineage: Eukaryota; Viridiplantae; Streptophyta; Magnoliopsida; Brassicales; Brassicaceae
Source: RNAcentral